GAGGAAUAUUGGUCAAUGGACGCAAGUCUGAACCAGCCAAGUCGCGUGAAGGACGAAGGUAUUAUGUAUUGUAAACUUCUUUUGCAGGGGAAUAAAGUGAGGCUUGCGAGCCUUUUUGCAAGUACCCUGCGAAUAAGGAUCGGCUAACUCCGUGCCAGCAGCCGCGGUAAUACGGAGGAUCCGAGCGUUAUCCGGAUUUAUUGGGUUUAAAGGGUGCGUAGGCGGAGAUUUAAGUCAGUGGUGAAAGUUUAGGGCUCAACCUUAAAAUUGCCGUUGAAACUGGGUUUCUUGAGUACGGUAGAGGUAGGCGGAAUUUGUGGUGUAGCGGUGAAAUGCUUAGAUAUCACGAAGAACUCCGAUUGCGAAGGCAGCUUACCGGACCGUAACUGACGCUGAGGCACGAAAGUGUGGGGAUCAAAC
Molecule: ribosomal RNA, 420 nt
Filed under: uncultured bacterium
Lineage: Bacteria
Description: bacterial SSU rRNA
Rfam family: Bacterial small subunit ribosomal RNA
Source: RNAcentral